Molecule: long non-coding RNA, 326 nt
Organism: Hipposideros armiger (great roundleaf bat)
Lineage: Eukaryota; Metazoa; Chordata; Mammalia; Chiroptera; Hipposideridae
Exons: 3
Source: RefSeq, a predicted model, not a curated record
CUGCAUUAGAGCCACCUCCCUUAAAUGACCUCCUUGUUUAAUUAAUUUAACAAAAGGACCCUGGAAAACCAGCAGAAGUUGGAGAAAGAGAAUAUCAGACAAGGGGCACCGGGUUCAUAUUCUUGAAAUGAGGAAGAUACCCAGGACGUGCACGUUUCUUUCACGACAUAACGGAUGCUACAGGUCCAUGACCUUUGUAAAACGGUGUUCUUUCCUGGCAUAUCUAGACGAGCAGGAGGCACACAGAGGUGUGUGGACAACAUUUUAAUGGCUACGAUAAACACAAGUCUCUACCACUGAGAAGAAUGCAGCCUUGGGUCCUUGGA